UACGUAGGGUGCAAGCGUUGUCCGGAAUUAUUGGGCGUAAAGAGCUCGUAGGCGGUUUGUCGCGUCUGCUGUGAAAACUCGGGGCUUAACCCCGGGCCUGCAGUGGGUACGGGCAGACUAGAGUGCGGUAGGGGAGACUGGAAUUCCUGGUGUAGCAGUGAAAUGCGUAGAUAUCGGGAGGAAUACCGAUGGCGAAGGCAGGUCUCUGGGCUGACACUGACGCUCAUGCACGAAAGCGUGGGGAGCAAACAGG
RNAcentral lists this ribosomal RNA (253 nucleotides) under uncultured bacterium. RNAcentral describes it as "partial 16S ribosomal RNA". It matches the Rfam family "Bacterial small subunit ribosomal RNA", at positions 524 to 776 of the family's 1533-position model. The record is from RNAcentral.